RNAcentral lists this long non-coding RNA (188 nucleotides) under Ixodes scapularis (black-legged tick). Its description in RNAcentral is "uncharacterized LOC115317312". The record is from RNAcentral. Lineage: Eukaryota; Metazoa; Arthropoda; Arachnida; Ixodida; Ixodidae.
CAGAGACGUCCCGUGGUGACGAAAGUUGUAUGCUAUAUGCCCCGACGGAGGUGCGUCAGCCUGUGACCAACUGGGAAAGCAGAUGCAGCUCGCCUCAAAGAAUUGCCUCAUUAGCAUGCACGAGCUACUUCAAAGCCUGAGACUGGAGGACAAAUAAACGAGCCUGCGGGUGGAAUGCAUGUUCACAA